This 83-nucleotide microRNA precursor is filed under the name Marmota monax (woodchuck). Lineage: Eukaryota; Metazoa; Chordata; Mammalia; Rodentia; Sciuridae. The record is from RNAcentral.
GUUUGAACUACUUAGGGAGCUAUUUAAAAAGCAGAUUCUGACUAAGAAUUUGCACUUCUAAUAAGCUCCCAUGUUGCUGGUUC